GCACCUACCCAUUGAGCCUUGCGGAGCACUCACUCAGGGUUUGGAGUCUGUAUCUGGAUUAAAAAUCCCAUGUCUCGACUGGGAUCCGAACCCAGUACCUACCAGCCUGUAGACCGAUGGCCUAAACACGACGCCACUGAAGCCGGUCAGAUAGUGUGAAAGAAGUUGAGACAAGUAGUUGAUGAGAAAGAGGAAGCAAAAUGUGUGGUGAGAUAUACAGAAACUGCAUGUGUGAAGGAAGCUGAGACAAGUGAUGGUGUUUCCAUGUAGAGGAGUCGGAGGAAUCUGACAGAAGAGGAUCCGAACAAAUUUAAUCAUUGGAGACGUUG
This is a long non-coding RNA of Gigantopelta aegis, 329 nucleotides long. RefSeq lists it as uncharacterized. The transcript is spliced from 2 exons. Lineage: Eukaryota; Metazoa; Mollusca; Gastropoda; Neomphalida; Peltospiridae. The record is from RefSeq and is a predicted model, not a curated record.